UAACGCGUGGGAAUAUGCCCUGGAGUGGGGGAUAACCGAGGGAAACCUCGGCUAAUACCGCAUACGGCCUGAGGGCGAAAGAUUUAUCGCUCUAGGAGGGGCCCGCGUCGGAUUAGCUUGUUGGCGGGGUAACGCCCCACCAAGGCUAUGAUCUGUAGCUGGUCUGAGAGGAUGAUCAGCCACACUGGGACUGAGACACGGUCCAGACUCCUACGGGAGGCAGCAGUGGGGAAUAUCGGUCAAUGGGCGCAAGCCUGAUCCAGCAAUGCCGCGUGAGUGAUGAAGGCCUUAGGGUUGU
This 298-nucleotide ribosomal RNA is filed under the name uncultured Sphingomonadaceae bacterium. RNAcentral describes it as "partial 16S ribosomal RNA". It matches the Rfam family "Bacterial small subunit ribosomal RNA", at positions 111 to 426 of the family's 1533-position model. Lineage: Bacteria; Pseudomonadati; Pseudomonadota; Alphaproteobacteria; Sphingomonadales; Sphingomonadaceae. The record is from RNAcentral.